Molecule: ribosomal RNA, 664 nt
Filed under: uncultured Piloderma
Lineage: Eukaryota; Fungi; Basidiomycota; Agaricomycetes; Atheliales; Atheliaceae
Description: eukaryotic LSU rRNA
Rfam family: 5.8S ribosomal RNA (bases 261-415)
Source: RNAcentral
CUUGGUCAUUUAGAGGAAGUAAAAGUCGUAACAAGGUUUCCGUAGGUGAACCUGCGGAAGGAUCAUUAUUGAAAUUAUAGGUGAGGGUUGUAGCUGGCCUCUCGGGGCAUGUGCACGCCCGAGCCCUUAAUCCACACACACCUGUGAACCUAUUGUAAGGGCCCUUAAAAAAGGCCUUUACGUCUUAUCAUCAACCCAUCGUAUGUCUCAUAGAAUGUAAAUAUAUGUCCUCGCCUUAAAAAGCGUUGAUAAGCUUAUACAACUUUCAACAACGGAUCUCUUGGCUCUCGCACCGAUGAAGAACGCAGCGAAAUGCGAUAAGUAAUGUGAAUUGCAGAUUUUCAGUGAAUCAUCGAAUCUUUGAACGCACCUUGCGCUCCUUGGUAUUCCGAGGAGCAUGCCUGUUUGAGUGUCAUUAAAUUCUCAACUCCGAUCGAUUUGUUUCGACUUCGGAGCUUGGAUUUGGAGCGUGCUGGCGUCGGUCGGCUCCUCUUAAAUGCAUCAGCGGAAUCUAACGUUUCGGAUGUCAGUGUGAUAAUCAUGUUGCGCUGUCUGUCUGAUCCGAAAGCCCGCUCACAAUGGUCUUCGGACAACUUCAUAUCAAAUUUGACCUCAAAUCAGGUAGGACUACCCGCUGAACUUAAGCAUAUCAAUAAGCGGAGGA